CAGAUUGAACGCUGGCGGCAUGCCUAACACAUGCAAGUCGAACGGGAGUAGCAAUACUCUAGUGGCGGACGGGUGAGGAAUACGUAGGAAUUUGCCCUUAAGUGGGGGAUAACCCGGGGAAACCCGGAUUAAUACCGCAUGACCUCGAAAGAGCAAAGUGGGGGAUCGCAAGACCUCACGCUUUUGGAGAAGCCUACGUCGGAUUAGCUAGUUGGUGAGGUAAUGGCUCACCAAGGCGACGAUCCCGUAACUGGUCUGAGAGGAUGAUCAGUCACACCGGAACUGAGACACGGUCCGGACUCCUACGGGAGGCAGCAGUGGGGAAUAUUGGACAAUGGGCGCAAG
RNAcentral lists this ribosomal RNA (345 nucleotides) under uncultured soil bacterium. Its description in RNAcentral is "bacterial SSU rRNA". It matches the Rfam family "Bacterial small subunit ribosomal RNA", at positions 25 to 381 of the family's 1533-position model. The record is from RNAcentral.